CUUACCUGGCAGGGGAGACACCACGAUCAAGCAGAAGGUUUUCCAAGGGCAAGGUGCUUUAAUUUAUUAUUAUUAUUUUUAAAUGUUGGAUAUUAGGAAAAGUUUAUUAUCUGAAAGAGUUGUCAAGCACUGGUACACAGACUGCCCAGGGAAGAGGUAGAGUCACUGUCCCUGGAGGAAUUCAGUAAAUGUGUAGAUGCGGCACUUAGGAACAGGAUUUACUGGGCAUGGUGGUGAUGGGUUCAAAGUUGAACUUGAUGAUCUUAAGAGGUGUAUGGUAACUGUUGAGUCAUGGCCUGAACCACUGAUCAAGCACCUGGGGAAAGGACCCAAUCAGCACUGGGAGCACAGGUGAAGGCAAUUCAGCUGUGCAACCAGAAGGGGUGGAGCCUGGCUGCACCUCUCUUAGACCUCAUUUAAGGGCUGACUGCCACUGGGGAAGGGUCUCUGGUUGCAGAUCCCUCCCUUGUGGAGUUUCCCUUGUGAGCCUAGGCCUUCAGAGACAGAUUUCUGGAGAGUCACAGGCAACAUCGGGAGAUGGAACCUGGAGGACACGAAGAGAUUCUGGGGGAGGAGGGUAAGUAAAAAUAACUGUGGGACACAACCAUUUAUCUCCAGAAAACCUUAUUGACUCUAUUAAAUGUGGGAGAGAUUCCCCAAAUUAAGAUCAGUGUUGAAGAAAAGUUCACACCACGAUCUGGAAACCAAAAUGACCACCAAGAUUUUUUUCCUUUCGGAUCACUAGAAAAAACAGUGUAAGUGCCAUGUAAAUACUUUUCUGUUUUUCUGAAACUUACCAAUUGCUCGUCUGAAGUUUUCCAUUAGAACUUCUGUUUUCUUGAUUUCAGUAGAAUAGACCUCACUUCCAACCAUAGGACAAAAGGGAACUUUACUGCCAAGUUCCUGAGCAA
Long non-coding RNA from Gallus gallus (chicken), 911 nucleotides. RefSeq lists it as uncharacterized. Lineage: Eukaryota; Metazoa; Chordata; Aves; Galliformes; Phasianidae. The transcript has 2 exons. The record is from RefSeq and is a predicted model, not a curated record.